This 919-nucleotide ribosomal RNA is filed under the name Pontostratiotes sp. D15DZMB. RNAcentral describes it as "SSU rRNA". It matches the Rfam family "Eukaryotic small subunit ribosomal RNA", at positions 225 to 1138 of the family's 1831-position model. Lineage: Eukaryota; Metazoa; Arthropoda; Copepoda; Harpacticoida; Aegisthidae. The record is from RNAcentral.
AAACGGCUACGGUCGUCAACUUGGUGAUUCUGAAUAACUUUGGGCUGAUCGCACGGCUUCACGCCGGCGACGUAUCUUUCUAAGGUGUGCCCUAUCAACUGUCGACUGUGGCAUAGACGCCCACAGUGGUUUUGACGGGUAACGGGGAAUCAGGGUUCGAUUCCGGAGAGGGAGCCUGAGAAACGGCUACCACUUCUAAGGAAGGCAGCAGGCACGCAAAUUACCCACUGGUCGAAGACCGAGGUAGUGACGAAAAAUAACGAUACCGGUCUCAUCCGAGGCCCGGUAAUCGGAAUGAGUACACUUUAAAUCCUUUAACGAGGAACAAUUGGAGGGCAAGUCUAGUGCCAGCAGCCGCGGUAAUUCUAGCUCCAAUAGCGUAUAUUAAAGUUGUUGCGGUUAAAAAGCUCGUAGUUGGAUCUCGGCGGGAAGGAGGCGGUUCGAUAUUUGUCGCUACUGCCUCAUUUUCCCGUGUUGGUGACGGAGGUUCCAGGGUGCUCUUAAUCGAGUGUCCUGGGAUGCCGUCAGGUUUACUUUGAAAAAAUUAGAGUGCUCAAAGCAGGCUUUACACGCUUGAAUAUUCGUGCAUGGAAUAAUGGAAUAGGAUGUCGUUUCUAUUUUGUUGGUUUUCGGAAAUCGACAUAAUGAUUAAUAGGGACAGUUGGGGGCAUUAGUAUUCAGACGACAGAGGUGAAAUUCUUGGACCGUCUGAAGACUAACUACUGCGAAAGCAUUUGCCAAGAAUGUUUUCAUUAAUCAAGAACGAAAGUUAGAGGUUCGAAGGCGAUCAGAUACCGCCCUAGUUCUAACCAUAAACGAUGCCAGCUAGCGAUCCGCAGACGUUAUUUUCUUAGGCUCUGCGGGAAGCUUCCGGGAAACCAAAGCUUUUGGGUUCCGGGGGAAGUAUGGUUGCAAAGCU